AUUCCGGGUAUUUCAGAUCAUCGGAGCCGCGUAAACGGGGCCUUUGUGCCAGGCCUGGAUUCCUCCUGGCACAUUUUUUUCUAGCUCCGUGCGUGUUGCGUGUGUUGACACUUUAUCGUUUUUUUGUGGCUGAACGCCAGCCCGUUGAAUGGAUCUACCACGUUAGGAUUAACCACUCAGUAAUUGGUGGACGCUGGGUUGUACUGCCUUGUGGUGGCUGUGAGCCAGCAGCCCUACGAAGUACCUGCUUGGCCACCUGUUUCAUCCUCGGGGGGGUCGACGCCGGGGGAAAGGAUGAAGAAGAUCGGUGUGGAGGGGCUGCUCUCCUCAUAGGACUUGGAAAACUCGACGCUCCGACCUUCCACAAACUUGCUGCCCAUCUUCUCCUCCACGAAGUUCCUGAGGGACACGCACUGGUCAGAUCUGAAGGCGAGGGGGACAGGGUGGGCUGUGACCCCAGGGGGAAGGGCCAUUUCUUGGUGGGCUUAGGCAGAACACGUCUCCACUUCCGGGGGCUUUCCUCUUUGCAGGGGGGUGUGUGGAGGGGGAGCGGGUGCACCCCAUCCCUGCUGGGCCCCGCAGAGGCGUGUUUCCCUGGAGAGGCCUGCAUGUGAGCAGGUGAGAGGUGGUCUCCCGCUGCCCCACUUUCAGAGGAUCCCAGGUCACCUGGGGAGAAACACAAGCCUCAAUGGGGCCAUAACCAGGGCAUCGCAGGUGAGCACGCCCCGGUGCCGGGGUACCCCUGGGUCCUUCGAGCCCUCUGUGCCCCCCAAGGAAGGGGGCAGGUCAGGUUCUCAUCUGGGCGGCAGAAGGGGAGCACAGUUGGGGCUCUGCAUCCUGGCGGUCCCCUGACCGGGGGUUGAGGAGGAAGGAAGUUCAUGUUGUAGCCAUUUUGGUGAGUUUCCAGGACCAUGGGAUAUAUGGUUCAUCAGAAAAAUCACAGGGAAAAAGGAAUUUUCCUUUAAUGCCUCUCUUUCCAGAAGCGCCUCUUUGUUCCAAGCCCCAAACUGUCUUUCUGGGGUCAAUCGAGGCCCCCUCUCAUGGGAGGUUGAGGGAUCUUUGGGGUGACAUUUGGGUCUCGCUUUGCCCUUCUUCCUCCAUCACCAACGGCUGAGCUUACUGUAUUCCGAAUGAGUCACAGGAGCUAAAAUGCUAAGAUUCGGCAUCUUUAGAAGAAGCAAGUCAGUCUUUCGAAGAACAGCAGGAGAGGAGGCACUCACGCUCAAGCAGCCGGCCAUCGGACACUCUGUCCUUAUCCUGGAGGACCGUCGGGUGGCCUGGUGGCGGCCUGCUCACUUGGAGGCCACCCCACACCCUCCGACUCCUUCCCUCGGACUCCGGGGGGAGCCUCCAAGCCUCGGUGCUUCCUGGGGACACGCUUAUCAGUGUCCACCACCUGCCCUGGCCUUCACUGGCUCCUAUGCAGUUUCCCUGAACUGAUGCCGGCUCCCGGCUGGGGGCUGGAUGGGGGGCCAGGGGACACACCGCCCGAAAGCCUCCAGUUGUACUCGAUUCCGGCCUCUGAGUGGACCAGGAAUGUGGAUGCUAGGAUCCUUGUCCAGGAAGGACUUUGGGAAUGUAGGCAGGAAUGUCACUAAAUCCACUGUUGCUAAGGACAUGGCCAGGCCAUGUGGUCAUCCUCUGCCGGUGAAUUAACGAUGAACGGUGUGUGCUGGUUCGGGGUGGGGGCUCCACCACUCUGGGCACCGCGUCCCCGGCAGAGGAGUGCGGGGCCCACUCCCGGCCGGGACAGCCACAUCACAGAAACUGCUGCAAACCAGGGCCUUUGCUGGGAGAUGCGUUUGCCAGCACCCAUCCCCCUCAGGUGCUGCCCUCUUGGGGCCAGUGAGCCUCGGGCCGCCCCGCUGGGGGCACAGGGGAGCCCACGCUUUGGCGCCGGGUGCACAGCAUGCAGCUCUGAUGGGGUGCCCUGUUCAGGCUAGCGGAAGAAGGGGCCUGGCGCCAGCGGACGGGGUCCCGGCCCCCCAACAGGGGCGGGGCCACGGGUAGCUCCUCCCUCCGCCCAGGCACCGCCCCUCCCAGGGCACCACGCCCACCUGACAGCGUAGGUCAUGCGGUCCGGCCGCAUGCAUCUCAGCACGCACAGCUUCUGCAGCGCCGUUUUGUUCUUCCACUCCUUGGGGAAGAUCUCCUUCUCCGGGGCUUCUGACUCCACCAGCUUCUUCCACCGCUUGGCGGACCCUUCGAUGUCGCUGUCCAGGUUCUUGAACUCAUCCAUCUCCGACAGGGCCUGGGGGCAGGCGGCCUUUAAGCUUCAGCCCCCACUCCCAGUGCAGAGGCCCGGAUUGAGCAACGGAGGCACAUGACCUGGGGGCCGACCCCCCAGAGGGCUGUGGGACGGGGGCGCCGCCCCCGUCACAGGGGACCCUGUUCUUAAGGUCUUCUGAACAGAGACACCAAGGGCCCCCAGUGCGUGUGCCCGGAAUUGGAGGUGUUUACUUGAAGCUUUGCGCUCGGUGGUAGAGGGGCCGCCCGUGGCUCAGGGGCCGUGUUUGGACAGGAAAGUAGAGUUUCCUGCGAGCCGGCAGGCAGCCCUCUGCACCCCGGCCCCACCACUGGGGCCCGGCCCCCCACCGUUCCCAGGGUGAUCACCAGGGGCCUCGCGCAGGGAGAGGAGCAUGUUCGAGCCUGCGCGCCCACCUUGAUGCCGCCCCAUCCCUGGUGCUGCAGGAAGUCCACCGGGGACAGGACCCCCGCCUUGAAGGGGAACCGCAGGAGGAAAUCCAGCUCUACCGGGUUCAGCUCUUUCUUCAUGGACAAGACCUGGGGGGACACGGGGGCCGCUCAGAUGUCACCCCACAACAGGGGGGCAGGGGGGCCACCGGCCCCUGGCAGGAGAGCCUGGGACCUUGGUCCUGGGGGGACUGACUGACGCAGGGCAGGCUGAAGAGCUCACACCCCUGGUCCGCAGCCGGGGCGGGGGAGUGGGGUGGGGGUUGGUGGGGGGCUGUCCUGUCCUCGGGUCUGGCAAGACUUUCCAUUCACAUUGAUUUUUUUUUUUUAAUCGUGGUAAAAUACACAGGACACAAAAUGUACCGUCUCACCCCUAUUAAGGUAUAACAUUUUCGUAAAACCGUGUCACCGCUAUCUAGCACCAGAGCUUUUUCUUCUUCCCAAAGGGAACCGGGACCCUGUGCACAGCCCCUCCCCCCGGCCACUGGCGGCCCCGCGUUGGCGCUCUGUUCAGUGGAGCCCUGCAGAUGUGGCCUUUCCCAUCCGGCUUCUCUCACUCUGUCCUCUUGGUUCACCCAUGUUGUAGCGACCACGUUUGGUGUAUCCGCUGAUCCUUCGAUGGAUGUUUGGGCCACGUCCCCUCGUGGCCAUUACGUGCAGAGCUGCUGUGAGUGCAAGAGAGUCAAGUCGUCGGGCCGUAUACAUUUUCUGGGGGACUUCCUGGGUCCUGUUCUACGUCGCCUCGUCACCCGUGCACACCAGCUCUCUGGGCGUCCAUCUGGCCGUGGAGCCGGGGCCACGGUCACCGCAGCGCCGCAGACAGGCGCCCGCGCAGCUCCACUCCGACGCCACAGAGCAGGGUUUCGCCCGAGUCAGAUUCUCUUUUUCUUUCUCUCUCUCAUUCAAAAGAAGAACUUCUUUGGAAAUUUAGGGGGAGCACCAAGUUCUGCUGCCCCCUCAGCGGGGCGAAAACUCAUGGUGGGCCUGCCCUUCGGGACUCACGCAGGUACGGAAAACCUUGAUCUGGACCCUCAGGCAAAGUGUGCGUUGGGAAGCAGACUUCCGGAAGCUAUCUAGAAAUUCGUGUUUUCUGCCAUACUUACGAGACUGAACCAGAUGGUGGAGGGGCUGUUAGAUUAACUUAAUGGAACGAAAAUGAAACAAAAACUGUUUCAGAGGGUCUGUCUGUACGAAGAGGAGGAAUGUUCAUCCAUUGGUAGUUUUACUUCCUUAAGAAACAGUAUUGGGCGUCCUUGGUUCACCACCUGCUGGGGUGGAACUGCUCCCUUGGCGUUAAGUAAACGUAAUAGAACAACGUUUCUUUGUAGAAUUCUCUGUAAGGGACCUCCCCUCCGGUGGCUGCCACCUACAACCGUGCCCGGUGUCAACAGAGUCCCAGGCGGGUCCCCCAGCAGGGACCCGAACAAAUGCCAUCACCCGGGAACCUGCACUGUGGACCACGUGUCAAGCAGGGAGGCCAGACUUGCCUGGAAGGCCACCUGGGCCAGGAAGAUGAGCUUGUCCCGUUCGAAGAGCCCGCGGGCCGUGUACAUGUAGACGGAGUUCUCCACUAAGGCUGUGUCCCCCAGGAAGUUCCCCGACGCGGCCGACAGACGGGCCAGCAGGGAGUCUUCCAGCUCUUUCAG
Hyaena hyaena (striped hyena) is the source of this 4340-nucleotide long non-coding RNA. RefSeq lists it as uncharacterized. The record is from RefSeq and is a predicted model, not a curated record. NCBI's taxonomy places the organism in Eukaryota, Metazoa, Chordata, Mammalia, Carnivora, Hyaenidae. The transcript is spliced from 3 exons.